Molecule: ribosomal RNA, 232 nt
Filed under: uncultured bacterium
Lineage: Bacteria
Description: partial 16S ribosomal RNA
Rfam family: Bacterial small subunit ribosomal RNA
Source: RNAcentral
CGGGACGGGUGAGUAAUGUCUGGGAAACUGCCUGAUGAGGGGGAUAACUACUGGAAACGGUAGCUAAUACCGCAUAACGUCGCAAGACCAAAGAGGGGGACCUUCGGGCCUCUUGCCAUCGGAUGUGCCCAGAUGGGAUUAGCUGGUAGGUGGGGUAACGGCUCACCUAGGCGACGAUCCCUAGCUGGUCUGAGAGGAUGACCAGCCACACUGGAACUGAGACACGGUCCAG